This 385-nucleotide ribosomal RNA is filed under the name Aedes atropalpus (rock-pool mosquito). RNAcentral describes it as "eukaryotic LSU rRNA". The stretch from base 1 to 87 matches the Rfam family "5.8S ribosomal RNA", at positions 66 to 154 of the family's 154-position model. Lineage: Eukaryota; Metazoa; Arthropoda; Insecta; Diptera; Culicidae. The record is from RNAcentral.
UGUGAACUGCAGGACACAUGAACACCGACAAGUUGAACGCAUAUUGCACAUCGUACAACAGUACGAUGUACACAUUUUUGAGUGCCUAUAUUUAUCUAUUCAACUAUACGUGUAUGCGCGUUUCACUUCGGGUGGACAGGCGCAUGGCCCCGUAAGCACGUAUGCGUAGUGAUGUUUUCCCGGCCUUCGGUGGUCGGUAAAACAUUGAAGAUAGUCAGGCGCGUCCCGUCCGGCGCGGCGAGCGACGCGGUUGAUGAAUACAUCCCCUAGACCACACCACCCGGUUGGUUAUGUUGUAUUCCAUCACACACUCGAACUCUCGAACUCGGAUAGCAUAUCCAGUAGGCCUCAAAUAAUGUGUGACUACCCCCUAAAUUUAAGCAUA